CUGGGCUUCUUCUGUGUUGACAAUUUUAGGACGAAGAGCUUCCCUGAGCCAUGGAGUUCUCAGAAAGGAAAGCCAUGAAAUACUUACCAGCUUAUUGGAUGAUAUAAAGGGAUGACAAGAUGCUUCUGCCCUAUCUUUUCUGUGACUGUUUUCCCUGCCUCCUGAGAAGAAUGCUGAGAAUUGCUGUCAUUGUGUGCCCACCCUGUACCCACCUACCUCUCAAAUAGAGGAGCCAAAGGAAAAGAGGAAGGAGAAUAGAAACAGUCAGAUUAUAAACAAGAAGCAGAAACUGGAUUUCAGUCAUCUACUUACCAGUACAUGUGGAAAGAACUGAACACAAACACUUUCAUACCGGAAGACUGCUAUGGCUGUGUCAUGCCAUAGCUUUUGCUCAGUGCCAGCAUAUUAGAUGCAACCAAAAUUGUUUCACCAUCAAAAUGGACAGAUUUAAAGCCUAUGAGGCACAGCUUCAUUGCAGUUCCGGUAUAUAAACAAAGCUUACCUAUUACAGGGCCCUCUCUGUGGCAUCCCUGUCAUUCAUUGUAGCACAUCAAUCAGGACACACCUAUUUUUUUCUCAGUAGGCUUUUAGUCAUCGGCAGUAUUCAUAACACAUAACACUAACAGAUGUUUUUGCUUCUUUCCUUUUCCUUCCACAUGUCUUUCAAACACAAACAUUAGCUCAGACCUUCUAAGAGUAGCCUUGCAAUUCUCUUUUAUCUUACCACAAGGAGACCAAUUCAUUACAGCAAAACAGCUUCUCCUAAAUCCUAUCCUUGUCUUACAACGCUCAGCAGAAAUUAAAGCCGUCUCCAACUUCCUUAUUUUCAAGGUGUCCAAGUGUCUCACUGCCACACUCCUCUACUUGUUUUUCUUUCUUCCUAUUCUCCAGUGCUACACAAGCUUCCCUUCAGGGCAAGCUCCUUGGGACUUUUGGUCCAUAGGUCCCUUUCAAAAUGCCUCACUUGAGCACUCAGAACAUAGAGUUCAUCUCAGCACAGGCUCCAGCUGUGGUCAGCGAGAGUCACAGGGAGGUCACCCCCUGCUUGAAAAUGAGACAAGCUGCACUCCCGUCACCAGGCACAGAGCCAGGUGACUGGUUCAGCCAUAGACAUCUCUCUGUGCUGUGGAUGUCUACACUGGAGGAGAUUAAUGCUGUCCUCAGACCUGUCUGAACAACCUGCAGCAUCUAUAAUGCAUUUUAUGCAUAUUUUUAAUUAAUUUGUUUAUUAUAAUUCCUGUUAUUGAAUCAUGAUACAGAAGAUAAUUUCUCUCAGCAGUUGCAUUACAUUUUGAACUAAUAAUUUGUUGUUGUUUCCCAAAGCACCUGCAGUAGCUUUAUUUGUUCUCCAAUAAAACUUUCCUUUGCCUGGAGAGCUAUCAUACUCCUCGGCCAAAAGACAGUAAACAAUAAUGUGGAAUACACAAGUAGUUUAUGAGUCAGUUUUCUGUCAAUGAAAUUCUUAAAAAUGAAUUGGCAAAUGUAGACGGUGUUAAGAAAUCCCAGCUCACACUAGCAUUAUGCUUUCUCCCCUGGAGACAUUCAUUCUCUGUGUUUUUAUUGGUAUAAAACUCAGCUGGACCACAGCUUUUGAAUGGCACUUUGGAGAUGGAAUUUAAAAAAAAAAAAAAUUGUCGUUUUCAACAGACACAGAGCCACAGAGAGCUCUUGUGUUGAAUUUCAUUACAAUUUCUUCAUUUUUCCAUACUUAAGGACUACCUUGGUAAGUGAGUAAAAAUAAAAAUAUUGUGUGUACCCUUUUGCCCAAGUAGUUGCCUCUGUUCCCAUGGUCCUUGCUUUCCUAUGUUAGCUGCUGACUUGUGAUAUGGAAGCUACAGUAA
This is a long non-coding RNA of Cygnus atratus (black swan), 1841 nucleotides long. RefSeq lists it as uncharacterized. Lineage: Eukaryota; Metazoa; Chordata; Aves; Anseriformes; Anatidae. The record is from RefSeq and is a predicted model, not a curated record. The transcript is spliced from 3 exons.